Molecule: long non-coding RNA, 7980 nt
Filed under: Selaginella moellendorffii
Lineage: Eukaryota; Viridiplantae; Streptophyta; Lycopodiopsida; Selaginellales; Selaginellaceae
Description: long non-coding RNA (SMOE_LNC002157)
Source: RNAcentral
GUUGCUGUUGAUAGAGAACUCGGCCAGGAGGCCAGGAGUUCCAGUGCCGAUGUUUCCCCCCCAGAGAUCCGGAGGACUCAGUGAGCGAGAUUCUCCGGGGGCGAGAGUGAAUCCGGAGGUUCCGAUCGAGGGGCCGGGGUUCUCGCGGACGACAAUGUUCUGCGAGCCUCCGCAGCUAUUGACAACGUUGAAGGAAGUGGCUGCUGCGAGUGGGAUUGCUGCAAAACAAUGGCUUAGAGCAACAAGAGCAACUAGGAUGGCAGUAGAGCUUGCCAUUGGAACUGUGUAUGCUGUAAUAUAUUUCUGUGAGUUUCUUUGAGGAUUUAUAUAGUCUAGAGAAAUUAGUGAAGGUGAAAGAGUUUGUUGACCACACGCAAAGGAAUACCACCCGUGAAUAGCGAGAGUUUUCCAAGCAAAAAAAACCUUUUCUUCACAAGACUUUGAAAAUCAUGUUCAUGCCUUGAGUUUUUGCAGAAACGUGCUUUGAAUAUUGAGUCAAGAAUGCCGAACUUUGUGAACUAGUGCCAGCUCAAUAACUCCUAGUCUCACAUUCGGGAUUGUUUUCUGUGGAUACUAUUAUUUGAUUCAUAAAGCGUUGAAUUCAUAAUCAAAGCACAUCUGAUUAAAGGAUAAGUUCAAAUAAAAAAACUUAAAUUUUGAUGAACUUAAUACUUGCCCCAUGAUGCCAUGAAUAUACAUAGUUUUCCUGUCCCCCUGCAUUUUAAAAAAAAAAGUGAAUCUCAAACCUUAUUUAGCUCCGCAGUUUACUUCAAAGCUAAAUCUGCUUUGCCGGGCUUGGUUAAUCCAUGGCGAUCUAGAAAAUCUUGGCACUGCAGUUGGAUUAGUCUUGAUUACUAGCAAAGGCAAUUAUGGCUGCAUGGAGGAAUCUCUCAAGGUCUUCCAAAGAAUCAAUACAAGAACACUAUUAAAUAAAAGCUGAUAAACAUGGGAUCAUCUAUCCCAUGGGGCUUUUGCAUGUGUGCUCAAUCAACGGACUUUUGGCCUGAGAAGCAGCUUAGGUAAACAUAUGCACGAAAAAAAAGAGAGGAAAACACACCUGUGUAAACUUGUAGACACAAAAGUAUGUACUUCCCGGAACUUUUCUUCUAGCACCGUGAUACUGGCAGCAGAAGAAGUUAAGUUCUGCUUCACGGAGUGACUGCGUCUUUGCGUGAGAUUCCUGUUGCUGCAAGGCAAGCAUGGUUGACUCUGCCUGCUAAUCCAUUGUAAAUGUCGGAUGCAAUACAUCCAGACAAGAGUGGAACGCCUCUGUUGGAAGGAUUCUCAACUCUCUUUCCAACCCCUUUCUUCAGCUGCUCUUCCUCCCAGAUCUUUGAAUUCAACGUUCUCAGACACGCCAGCUUUCUUUCCAUUAUCCUUGUAAGUGAGCCUCCCUCGAACUUCCCCGGCCUCGUCUUCACUGGAAACAGCCUCGUCUUUCGAUGGAGCGUCACAAAUUCUGGACCGAAACUUGGCAUCGCUAGAAUGACACCACCAAAAGAAGCAUCCAUCAAGGCAUCAAGAGCUAGUUGAGAUGGUGUUCUAAUGUAUGUAAGGCAAUAUCUAUGUGAAGGCUUGUUUAAACAUUUCUACUGUCAUGUGUAAAGAAUGUUAUCGCAAUUUUAAAUCUUCAUUUCAAUACUUACCUGGCAGAUCCCUCUCAAGGAUGAAAGUACCUUCUCUAUUGUAAUCGUCACCGUUUCGCAGCAGUUUUCAUUUGCACAGCUUCUCGUCUACCAGUUUGCAGAACGCCUGGUAAGUAUCUGCAGCGGGAUGCCUCCUUAGCAAAGUACUCUCGGUAGCUUAUUGUGCUCGCAUCCAAGAACAAGUCAUAUGCCUCAGUAGCUAGCGUUUCACCGUCCAGCAUGAGGCCCCGUUUCAAGCCCCAAGUGACAAGGUUUUUCCCUUCCGGGCAGUUCGCUGUACAUCUCAAGCACAUUUGGCGUUGGAUGCAACAUCUUUCCAAAGCUUCUUUUAUAAUGGACAACACUAAAGUGUGAUCUUUGACCACGUCGACAUAAACCCUUGACAUUGGCUCGUCAACCAUCUCAAGUAACAAAUUGUCAUUAUAUGGAUGUAUUUAAGGAGAGCUUUGUACGAGACAUGCGACGAGAACAUCUUUACGAUCUUUGGGUGCUCUUGUGGAAACGCCUUACAAUUAGCGACUCGCGUCUGGGAAGCAAGAGCUAGCUGAAAUGGUGUUCUAUAACUCCAUAUAACACCCAUGUAAAGGCUUUGAUCAUUUGAUGAAGUUGAAUACAAGCGUUGAUAUGUGAACUCCAUGCUAGGGCCAGGGGGUGAUGGUAGAAAUUUGACUCUUUUCCCUUCCACUUCUAAUAUACACUUAGUGUUUCAGUGAGAGGAGAUUGCCGCUCGUUUCUUUAUUUGUUGAUCCACCAUAUUCAGCCCGAGCGCCAUGCCUAGGCUGCGGUCGGCGAUCACCGUGGCCACUGCCCAUUAAGUCAAAAUUAGAUUGAUGGGGAUAAAAGGCUUUUUAGCAAAAAGGUAUUAAGUUAAGCGGUAGCUUUCUGAUCCAUUACGAGCCAGGGCCUAGCCAGGGCCACAAAGCACAGGGAAUGGAGUCCUAAAGAUUCUCAUCCGCACCACAAGGAACUAGCAUCGUCAUCACUGCACUCAUCCUCAUCACUACUCUCAUCAUCCUCAUCACUGGGUUUGUAGUCCGGAUCAAAACUUCCUCUUGUUUGCUUUCCUUGCCAACUGCAACUUGCAGCAGCUAGCAUCGGUGUGUCCCUCACAGCGCUUAAUAAGCCUACACAAAUCAUAAAAACUAAUAAAAACAAAAAGAAAAGCAUCAAUUACUUACCAAAUGGACUCUGCUGUGGAUACACGUAUUGACCUCCAUCAGCCUCUGGCACAACCAUCCUGUUGGAACUUUUGACUUUGGAAAUCACGUUAUACAAUGGUUGAUCGGUCAUAAGAACCAUGGCGUAAUUGCCAUCUGAAACGACACACAAUAAACCAACCGACAAAUAAAAACUAAGUACCUGCCAUCCAUUGCUCUAUCGUCCAUAUCUUCUUCAGAAAGUCUUCUUCCCACCUGGCUUGCUGUCCUUCAUAAACGUCCGUGCGUUUGCUCUCAAUAAAUAAAAAAAAGUCCUGCAGCUUGUUCUCAAGAUCCACCAGCUGCAGAUGGAUGAAGCUAUCAGGUCCGUGGUUGCCAACCCAAUAAAAAUGCUGCCUGUCCUCUCUUAGAAAGGCCUGAAAUACGUCUGCUGUAUGUAUCUGAUGGGGCUGACGUUUUGGAGGUCCAAACGUUGCACCAGCUGGCAACUGGAACUUCAAAGCUUGCAUAUUUGCAGGAAGGACGAAAUUGAAGGGGAGGAUGUCUUUGAGUGUGAACUCAAAUACUGUCUCCUUCUUCUCGUGAUCAUGAAAAAGCUUACCCAUGUAUAUCAUGAAGACAAUGCACAUAAGGUCUGAUACCUCCUUAACAGAAUCCAGUAUAGGAGGCCAUAAAUGUUUCAGCUCCGCCACAUGUAAGUUCUCGAUAAGAUGGUAAAUAAGGAGUGGAGAGAACAUGAUGGAAAACGAGCGCAUUCCAUUCCUCACGUCUUCCUGUUUCGAUAAUUUUAUCUGCUUAUUGGGUGGCGGCUCCUGUACAGUAACACCACAUAAGCACUCACAUAAACUUCUGAAAUAUCAGAAAAGUACCUCGUUGCGUAAGAGUCCAACUAAACCGCAAGACUCUAAAAAUCCCCACUUAUCUUUGUAUCUACUACCUGGCCAAACUAGGUCCUCCCGACUGAUCAGGGUCCCCAACAGCGCAACAUAAAGAGCUCGUAGCACCAACAAAUACCUCUUGUCCACAAGGUAGUGAAAAUAAUAACCGCGUUUGAUAGUACUCCACGCGUUCCUUAUUGUAUCACGGAGAUCGGUUUGGCUGAGAUCUUGAUUCACCUGUAACAAGCAUACAGUUUUCUCAUCAAGAAAAAGGACAAAAAAGAACGGAAGAAACCUUUUCGUAGAACUUCGAAGCUUCAAGAUGAGGGUGCUCAGGCAUCAACCCUCUCAAAAGGUGAUUAAGCAUGCGAGGAUUCCCUCCUGAUAACUUUAUCAGCUUCCUUAGUCCGUCCUUCAACUCAAAUGGCUUCUCCAUGCCGAGAGUAUUUCCUAGUCUUGAAAGGAAGAUCGUCGUUACGUCUACCACCUCCUCCUCCUUCAGAGGCCUAAUAGGUAUAAAAAUACUUGUUACCUUCUCUGUGUAACGCAUUGUGGCCCCAGAAAAUCGGGUCGUUGCUACUUGAAGUACAGGAAACGUCAUGCCACCUCGGUUACUUUUGAUAUGUCGAACGUAGGCCGAGAAAGCUUCAUGAAUCCAGGACGAUGCAGCUGGGAGACCUCGCUGAGGUCGGGCCUUGUUGACUUCAUCGAAAAACCAAGAUAGAAAAAUUCGCUUGUCGGCAGGAACCUUAAGACCGGUUCGAAUGAAGUCGAUCACAUCUCCGAAAGUCAGCACAUUCCUCAGGCCCGGAAACAUGUCAUCCAACUCCUUGAGAAAAUCAGCAUAUGCAGUCGUAUUCAUUGGACAAAGGGCUGCAUGCAAGGACCGAAGCGCCAAAACCUGUGCGCCUUCCAGGCCGUUCUCGAGCAGAAGUGCACCCCCCGCCAUGGUCGUUUCAACCGAAUGGUACAUACUAAGAUCUUUGCCAGUCUCCAGCACGUUGUUCACCAUUUCCUUGAACUGAGUGGCAAGCCCACUGUAACCUAGCUGGUCCUCGAGAAUGGCAUCUAUAGUCCCUGUUUUUGUGUCCCUCUCCCACGCUUCUCUGAGAAGAGCUGAGAGACAUGUCCCGACAGUUGUUUUGCCUGCUCCGGGGAAUCCGAUGACCAUCAACAUGAACUCUUUUCGUUCGAAAUCUGAGGCACUGGAAGUCUUGUUCAUGAAAGUUGCAAAGACCCGUGCAGUGGCAGCCAUAAGAUGCUGAAUCAUCUCCUCCCUUCCGACCAAAGUAAAAUAAUCUCCGAAGUCCGUCUGUAAACACGGCUGCCCACCGUUGUCCACAAGAGGCAACUUGUAGCCUGGCACCCUCCUCGCCGGCAUUCCGUGAAAAACCCUUGCAUCCUCCAGUUGUUUCGUGUAUACAUCCAGCAACCUCGACACUACAACACAAACUUGUCAGUAGUAGAAGCAAAAAGUAAAAGACGCCAAAAACGAUAGCCACAGUAUACACCAACACAUUAAGCAGAAAACCAUACGAAGAGACCAUGAUGCCACAGAUGCCGAGAACCCAGGUAACACGUUCUACAAGCUACACAAGACGCCAUGUCGACAGCCACCAACAAAGGCAACAGCCGAUCACAAUCACACAGACACCAUAGCCCCAGCUAUAGCCGCACUAGCACCACGACAAGUAAAACGCCAAGUUGCAGCCAAGUCGUGGUUUUGCUCAGCAAGUGCUUACCUGGCGCAGCUUGAAGGGUUAUCGGCGGGGCCUCUGAAACAGAAAUAUAAACUUGUCAGUACUCGGCAAUAGCCAGCGGGGCAAGCACAAAACAGCGCGAAUAGCCCAUGCGAGGAGGCAAAAACAGAAGAAACGAUCAAAGCAGACUCCUAAGAGACCAAGAUUCCAGCAGAACGAGCACAUCCCAGGCACCAAAUACACACCAAAAUGCUACGUACGUGUAGGAGCCUUUGUUGCCCGAAUAGUAUGAGAAGAUCCAGGCACAUACGUAGACCUGCUCAGGCCGUCUUCCCCUGCCUGUAGACGUCUCCACCUGACCCUCCCUUGCUCAUAGCGCUUCACACUGAUAAAGACAGCCGAGAACUCCUGGAGAACAUCAUUUACUGCCACUCUACCAUCGUUAAGGUAAAACUCGCAACCUUCUGCCCCAUCUAUGUCUUCAAUGAACUCUACAAUCUCCUCCAUACUGUUAACCCUAGCCGGCUGUCCGGGUAUAUUCAGUCUGAUCCUUCAGACAUAGAAGUCUACUUGGUGCUUUUGGUGUUAAUGAUCGAUGAGAGGCGGUGCUGCUGGUCAGAGUAGCAGAAUUGGUUGCAAUGGGAGGAUCCAAUUGUGUGUGAUCGUGCAUCAAUUGCCAAUUCUGGGCAUCUGGGAGAUUCGAGGAGGAUAUUUGAUGGCUAGCUGGAAUGCGAUGCUUUCGGUAUAUGCUCGGGCCGGAUGUUUCCCAGAUGCCACAGGAAUUUUCGAUGCCAUGCAAGCAAAGAAUCUAGUCUCGUGGACUGCCAUGUGUGUGCGCAUAUUCCAAGCACGGGCAUCUAGACGAGGCAAAGAUUUUUCUUGGUGCUAUGCCCGCGUGGAAUGCUGUUUCCUUGAUAGCGAUAAUCGUUGCAUGUGGUUUAGCUCGGGGUAAUCAGCUGUUUGAGAUUACGGAAGCCAAAACUUUGGUGGCGUGGAAUAAUACUCGCCGCAAAUGCCCACUUUGCGAUUUCUCUGGUGAUCUUUCGUGCGAUGCCGCAGUGGGAUCUGGUUUCGUGGAUCACGCUACUGGGUGGAAUUUCUAGCGAUCUUGAUGCUCUGCUCGAGAUUUUCCACGCAAUGCCCAAGCACGGCAUCGCGCUGCUAUCGGCUCACGCGACUAGAGGCGAUGCCCAACUCGUGUUUGAGCGGAUGCCGGAGAGAAAUUUUGAUCUCCUGGAUCGCGAUGCUCAAUGCAUGGAUCUUGUGCGGCGACCUGGAACUCGCGAGAGAGCUCUUCGAUCCCAUGCCGGUGAGGAACCUGUUUCUCGAACCGCGAUGAUCGAUGCGUAUUCACAGCGAGGCGAUCCGUGCCAGGCCAGGAGCCUCUUCGCCCAGAUGGCGGAGCAGAGCCUGGCCUCCUGGAACGCGAUUCUUUCCAGCAUCGCGCGCUUUGGAGAUCUGGAAGAAGCCCGAGAGAUCUUCGAGAGGAUGCCGCAGUGGAAUUCUUUGUCCUGGAACGCAAUGCCGGCCGCCUACACCCUGUCCGGAAAGAAUCUGGAAGAAGCCCAGGCGCUGUUCGCCAAGAUCCCCCGCAACCAGCUCUCUUGGAACCUGAUGCUCACAGCCGCUGAAUCAUCGCUGGAGCUCUUCGCAUUGAUGCCGGAGCGCGACGUCGUAUCCUGGACUGCACAGCAUUUGCCCGCGCUCACGGACAAGCACUGUCCAGUGGGAUUCCCGGGGUUGAUGAACACUAGAGCUCGGGGCUGCAGAGCUCCCGCGCGGAGAAGCUCUGAAUCCCAUCGCCUGGGCCACGCUCCUGGCGCCCUGAUCCAUUCCCCGCGACCAUGGUCGCGACCACGGCGUGACGCCCACUACGGCUGCAUGGGACGUUUGUGGAUGAUGGGGUUUGUAGAUGGAAUGAUACGGAGGGCGAUAGGUGUGGUACGGAGGUGGCCGGGGUGGAUCCAGAUGCCGCUGCGCUAACGUAUCGAUCUCGCGAGUUGGAAUUGGAACGCGUGACAAGAUUUUUGCUCAAUAAGGACUAGAAUUUAUUUAUAAUCGUUUAUAAAGUGAUUGAAUAACACCAUCGCUCACGGGCAGAACGUAAUGGUGAAAGUUCCUCCGGUUCCAGUGGCAAAAGUCUUGGUGUUGUCACCAGACCAGCUAUAAGCAUCCGGGCAUGAGGCACGGACGUUCUGUGCAUACUGGGAGUUUGGAUCGUCGCGGUUGGGACUGGUACAAACAUUCCCAUUCGUGUUCUCGGGAGGACAAGUCGAAGCCUCCGCUCGGCAAGUCAGUCCCCUGCCAGAUCCAGUGAUGCUCAUCCCAGUGCCGAUGAAGAAGCCAUCCACGGCGCUGAUGUCGUAGAAGUCAUUGUUGCUGUUGCUGUUGAUAGAGAACUCGGCCAGGAGGCCAGGAGUUCCAGUGCCGAUGUUUCCCCCCCAGAGAUCCGGAGGACUCAGUGCGCGAGAUUGUCCGGGGGCGAGAGUGAAUCCGGAGGUUCCGAUCGAGGGGCCGGGGUUCUCGCGGACGACAAUGUUCUGCGAGCCUCCGCAGCUAUUGACAACGUUGAAGGAAGUGGCUGCUGCGAGUGGGAUUG